RNAcentral lists this long non-coding RNA (303 nucleotides) under Medicago truncatula (barrel medic). RNAcentral describes it as "long non-coding RNA (MTRU_LNC004984)". The record is from RNAcentral. Lineage: Eukaryota; Viridiplantae; Streptophyta; Magnoliopsida; Fabales; Fabaceae.
UUGAAUAUGAUGUUUAUCAUGAGAUAUGUAUGCUAUCUUACUUAGAAUGUAAGGAAUGCUUGAAUGGUGAAACUAUAUGUGAUAGUUGAUUAUGAAUGGUUAUAUGUUGGAUAUGAUAUUUGUCAUGAGAUGUUGUAUGUUCUCUUACUUGGAAUAUGAGAAUUGUUUGGAAUGGUGAAACUAUAUGAUAUAGUUGAUGUUGAAUGACAUUGUUGAUUAUUGAUAAUCAUGUUGAUGUGUGAUGGUGAAUACUAUGAUUUAUUUGUGUGGGCAUGUUUUCUUGAUAAUGCAAUGUUGUGGAGA